Molecule: long non-coding RNA, 2101 nt
Filed under: Anas platyrhynchos (mallard)
Lineage: Eukaryota; Metazoa; Chordata; Aves; Anseriformes; Anatidae
Description: lncRNA (ENSAPLG00020010223.1)
Source: RNAcentral
GCUCAUCUCUCGCCGGCAGCCUCCCCCCGGGCACCUGAUCAGCGGAAAGAUGAACCCCACCGUGGGCAUCGCUGUCAUCCUGACAGUGCUCCAGGCCGCCCAGUGCCAGAUGAUCAAGGACCUGAGCGCCUGCCUGCUGGGCCAGAGCCUGCGGGUGGACUGCCGCUACGAGAACAAAACCAGCAACCCGCUGACCUACGAGUUCAGCAUCACCAAGGACAACAGGAAGCACGUCAUCCACAGCACCAUCAGCGUCUCCGAAAACGUCUACCGGAGCCGCGCCAACGUCACCAUGCACAAGAACCUGGUGUGCCUCUACCUGCAGAGCUUCACCACCAGCGACGAGGGGGUCUACAUGUGCGAGCUCAAGGCCACCAACGACUACACUGGCAACCAGAUAAAGAACAUCACCGUCAUCAAAGACAAACUGGAGAAAUGCGCCGGCUUCAGCCUCUUGAUCCAGAACACUUCGUGGCUCCUGCUGCUCCUCCUUUCCCUGCCUCUCCUGCAAGCCGUGGACUUCGUGUCCCUGUGAAAGGAUAAAAAAAAAACAAACAACAAAACAAACCACCCCGCGCCCCCCACGGAGCACCCCAGCCAACCCGCCUCCCCCGCCAGAGCGCAGCCCUCGGAAAGAGCAGAUUUGGAAGAAACGAAACCUCUCUCUAUGUUAUCUAUGUAGCCGUAUAUCUAACGCUAGCCACCGUCCUGUGCUGAGACCCGCCGGCACGCAGCGCGCGCACGCCCCGCUCCGAAGCAUGGUGGCUCCGCUAGGCAGCGUCGCUUCUCCCAUCACACCCACCCCCUUGUGCUGGUUUUGCUGGGGCACCAGAGCCUCAGCCCGCUUCUCCCACCCCUUUUCUUUCUUUUUUUUUUUUUUAUUUUAUAUAUUUUUCCUUGGCCUGUUCUCAGCUGGGGAAAGACAGCCGGACGAGCAGCCGGGUUGGAAGCGAGGCCCCCAGACACCGCCUUGUGCCCUGGGGCUGCCCGAGCCCGGGCGCCCCCCUGGUCCUCCCCAGGGACCAGUCCUUAGCUGUGACGAGAGAAGUGCCGCCAGCGCCCGCAGCGGAGGCCCGCGGAGCCUCUCCGAGCUAGCCACAGCCUGGCCAGCGCCCCGUGCCCCCAGGUGGGGAGGGGGCUCCCCCAGGGGACCGACCACUCCCCCACCCGAGCUCCAUGGGGACGUCUGGGGGGUCCCCUGUCCUUCCCUGUGGCACGCGCCCCCCUCUUUCUCCAGCCUCCCCAUGCCGCAGGGAGGAGCUCCAUGUGUCCCCCCCUGCCUCCCCGCUCCCUUCUCUCUACUGAAGUGAGGAAAAAGGGGGCGAAGGCAAGCCCAGCCCUUGGCCACCGCCUCAAGAAGGAUGUUCCCAGGGGUCAGCGAGAGUGGAGAGAGGGACCCCAAGCACAGCCCCAGCCUUGUCCCCAUGCCCCGCAGGACCUCAGGAGCCUUCGGACCAGGAGAAACCACGAGGCUGGCCCUGCGCAACCCAACCCAGGAGCGAGCAGGGGGCUGGGGAAGGCAGUGACGGGACCACCUGGCUCUGUGGGGUCAACCCGAGCCCUGCUGAGCUCCCCAGGCUGUGCCACGACGGCUGAGAGCCCUUCCCAGCGGCUGCUCCCUGCUCCUCGCUUUCCUCCGGACGCCGCGAGCUGCCCCCCACCCCGCUGCCCCAUCCUGCCCAUCCCUGCCCCUCUCGCUGCCUGCUUGCUUGCUGUCUAGUGCUGCCGAGGCCGUGCACGGCGGAGGUUCGGCUCACCCCGCUCCCCGGGCUGGUUUGGAGCUCCCCGGGGAGCACCAGGGCAGGGCAGAGCCCGGCCGACCGCGCGGACGCAUUCUCCGGUCUCAUUUAUUUUUUUUUUUUGGUGAACAUUUGUAGUUGUUUCCACAGCUUGUCGUAAAAAGAAAUUCUGUUCAAAGGAGAAAAAAAAGAAAAAAAAAAGAAAAGAAAAGAAAAGCCAACCCUACGAAAAGCAACAAGAAGAAGAACAAAACCACCUGUCCUCCAGGAGUUUUCCUCCGUCUGCACAAUAAAAGCCUAGGUCGUGUGUUGGAGCCGUGGCCACCCGUGUGUGUGUGGGGUGGGGUGGGGGGCUACAGGGG